UACGGGGGGGGGCAAGCGUUGUUCGGAAUUACUGGGCGUAAAGGGCGCGUAGGCGGCCUGCUAAGUCGGACGUGAAAUCCCUCGGCUCAACCGGGGAACUGCGUCCGAUACUGGUGGGCUCGAAUCCGGGAGAGGGAUGUGGAAUUCCAGGUGUAGCGGUGAAAUGCGUAGAUAUCUGGAGGAACACCGGUGGCGAAGGCGGCAUCCUGGACCGGUAUUGACGCUGAUGCGCGAAAGCCAGGGGAGCAAACGGG
This 254-nucleotide ribosomal RNA is filed under the name uncultured bacterium. RNAcentral describes it as "partial 16S ribosomal RNA". It matches the Rfam family "Bacterial small subunit ribosomal RNA", at positions 524 to 776 of the family's 1533-position model. The record is from RNAcentral.